CAAUAUCACUGAGCCUGCGAUCUAUA
This 26-nucleotide non-coding RNA is filed under the name Homo sapiens (human). The record is from RNAcentral. Lineage: Eukaryota; Metazoa; Chordata; Mammalia; Primates; Hominidae.